Non-coding RNA from Lepisosteus oculatus (spotted gar), 1698 nucleotides. NCBI's taxonomy places the organism in Eukaryota, Metazoa, Chordata, Actinopteri, Semionotiformes, Lepisosteidae. The record is from RefSeq and is a predicted model, not a curated record.
AUAGAACUAUUACUUUGUGUCGUGUUUAUGUUUAACGGGAUGUUCCUGUUUUUAAUUUAACAGGGUCAUUCAUGCUAAAUUAUACCAGAUGAGUGUACGAGAUUACUAACGCCAUACUCAAGUGCAAUCAGUCCCGACACAAACGAGAGCAGCAGUUGCGGGUUUGAAUUUGAACGCGAAUCCUAUUGAAGCGGGUUUUAUUUGCACUGAUACAUGACGAAGAUUCAUACGGAGAUCCUUCAUAUAGAGUCAUUCCUGCUAAAUUAUACCAGAUGAGUGUACGAGACGACUGCGUUUGAUUUUGAAGGCGAAUCCUAUUAAAGGACUUUUAUUUGCAUUGAUAAAUGAUGAAGAUUCAUACGGAGAUCCUUCAUAUGACCUGAGGGCGUCUGAUCAGGGGAGCUACAGAGUGAGGGACCUUCAGGGAAACACUAUCGUCACUGUGGGAGCUCACAGAGACACUGUCACCCUGCAGCCUGGAGCCUCUCUGUCUGUUCCCCUGUUCACUGGAGAGCCAGUGGAGGUGCUGUUUCCACCUGCAGGAGGUGGAAACUGGACCUCAGUGUGUUCUGUCCAGAACAGCACAGCCCGCUGUGUCCCCCAGUACAGAGACAGAGUGUCGGUGCAGAACAGCUCUCUGACACUGCAUUCCCUCACUCCAGCUGAUCAGGGGAGCUACAGAGUGAGGGACCUUCAGGGAAACACUAUCAGCACUGUGAUCGUCACUGUGGGAGCUCCACUCACUCUCCCAGUCUGAGAAUUGAGAGGCUCAGAGAGAUGGACUGCACCACCAGAGACGGAGGAGAGAUCCACGUCACAAAAGGCACCAGACUGCUUACAGUUUACAGGAAGCCCACCCUCGGCACUCGAACCCGGAGCCCUGCCCAGCCUGAUGGGAGAUCCCAGCAUGAGUGAGUCUGAUCUUCACCCUGUUCUCUGCUCUCCUUCUGCCUGUGUGUCCACUGGCUCAGUCACCGAGCAGGAGAGAGAGCCCACGAAAUUCCCUGGGAAAAUGCAGACAGAAGUUUGGAACAGUUCAGCGGAAGUCUGCAGGUGUCCCUUAAUGAAGGCUGGUUUUGUACCAAAACAACUGAAAAACUGACGGAGAAUUAACGAGGACUCCUUUUCUUGGAUAUUCUCUGCAUGUGUUAACCACUAAACCAGACAAACUCUUCAGUCUGUUUCCUGAAUUAGUUUAUUUGCCUGUUUACUGUGCUUGGGAUUCACUGGAAUUGUGAGUCACUAAGCCAGUGUCUCUGUGUUCACUGUAAAGGUGAGAGGAGUGGGGUACCAGCCAGGUGGGAGCUGGAGGAGUGGGGUACCAGACAGUUGAAGCCAAGGAACAUUCCUGUGUGACAGUGAACACGCUCAACCGAGAUCUCUGUGGGAUCCUGAAGGAGGAAAAGUCAAGAGGGAGGACAGACACCCCAACAUCGGAGCUCUCUCCCAGUCGGACACCAGGGGCCCCGACGCCCACAUCCUCCCCCAUCGGCUCCAUCUCUCCGGUCGUGUCGUCUGGACGUUGGACUCCAGGAUCUCAGGGAAGGUUCCCUCCUCCCAGCCCGGCUCAGGCCUGAGGAGUCUGGGAGAUCUGGGAGAAGCCAACAGGGAGAAACUCCUCCUGGACCUCGACUCUGGGAGGAGCCCAGCGCCUGGACCCCCAGAAGACUCAGGAUGACCAGGAGGAGCCCAGGGGUG